GCCUCAUUAGCUCAGUGGUAGAGCUGCGGCUUGCCAAGUCGUGGAAUGCCAGCAACACCGGCACACGCACAGGUUCGAUUCCUGUAUGGGGCU
This 93-nucleotide transfer RNA is filed under the name Saccharimonas aalborgensis (SeqCode). RNAcentral's name for it is "Candidatus Saccharimonas aalborgensis tRNA". It matches the Rfam family "tRNA". From Rfam's summary of the family: Transfer RNA (tRNA) molecules are approximately 80 nucleotides in length. Their secondary structure includes four short double-helical elements and three loops (D, anti-codon, and T loops). Lineage: Bacteria; Candidatus Saccharimonadota; Candidatus Saccharimonadia; Saccharimonadales (SeqCode); Saccharimonadaceae (SeqCode). The record is from Rfam by way of RNAcentral.